CGAAAGGUUCCUGGCAGCACUGGUAUUCACCAGAGGGUUGUACAUUGCCAUUACCUGGAGGGACUGUAGUGGAGAAGCCAGCAAUCGGAACAUUUAUGGAACCACAAAUUUAACUUUCGCAACAUUUAGGCAUAUAAAGUCGUACAUGGGCCCAGAGACCAUGCGGUACUCCACCUCCCUCUCGAUGAUGGGCCCAUCCCCGUUGAUGGAGUUGGCGUUGAGCUGGAUCCAGAGGAGUUAACUUCUCCGCGCCAUUUUGCUUGCACAUGGGAACAAAAAACUUGAGAGUGACUUUCGUUUUUCAAUCUCACAAAUCAAAUUCUCCAUUCCUGUCUGGCAGAAUGUUAUAUUCAGGAGUCUUUGAGCCACAAAGGACAGCUCUCGAGCUUCAAUCAGGAGAUGGACCCUAUACACAGGCUUUCCAGUCUUCUUUGGGCAGUGUUUUCAAUUAGAAGAGCCACAGAAAGAGGUCAGAAGGUAACACAAUAAGCCUCUGUGAAAUAUUUCAGCUUGGAAAUACAAUUUCAGGAUACAGAAGAAAGGCUCAACCUCGCGGCUAAAGAACGGCAAAAUGCCAAGGGAGGUCUGGAAAUACUAAACUCCCAACUCGUUCCAUUUCUCGCCCAACACUACUCAAAAAAUCAUCAUUUUUAAAAAAGACUGUUUCCUUUCCGAGUGUUACCAUGGCGGUCAUCCACUACAAAUAAAAGCUAUUCUGCAUGUCCUGAA
This is a long non-coding RNA of Anguilla rostrata (American eel), 729 nucleotides long. RefSeq lists it as uncharacterized. NCBI's taxonomy places the organism in Eukaryota, Metazoa, Chordata, Actinopteri, Anguilliformes, Anguillidae. The record is from RefSeq and is a predicted model, not a curated record. The transcript has 3 exons.